ACCAGGAGAACUUGGCUGGCUGGCUGACUGAAUGGGGAUGCUUGGUGUGGUGGCUGUUCUUGCCAGGACAAUAGCUGGCUGACAAAAUCAGGCUCAGGCCUUUCUGACUUGAGAGAAGCCUGCGUGGAGCUUUAUGUCGGUCCAGUGUUGGCCUCAGAUGACUUGGGUGGAUCAGACUUGCUGCCUGCACUUAUGAAGCCCAUGAUCUGCUACCAACUCGUGGGCUUGGAAGCCAUGCACCUGCAGCUGGAUCCCUCUGGGACUUGUGAAAUGUAGGUCCCAAGGCCUACUCCCUGGAAAUAUAAAUCUGGCCAGUUAUUAUUGUAGCUGACAGGAUUCACAGCUGAGUGUGAUCGAGAAUUGCUUUUCUACUCUGGUAGUACGCAUCAUCUUGAAAGCUAGCCAACAGGGAUGAAGCUUUCAGGAGCUCCAGGAUUAGGGAUGGGACAAAAGAUGUAAUUCUUCUCUCAGUACCACUGAAAGAAUCUGAUCAUCUGUUCCACCUUCCUGAACCAUUUCUACUGCACAAAUAAUGGCAAUUGACAACUACCUGCUGUUCCCAUUGGCCAAGGACCUCCAAUCACAAUCUUUUAAGCACUGAAUAAGCAAGCAUAUUUGAAGCUCCAGGCCUGGUGAGAUUGGAUACAUCGUUGUAGGCACCGGAAAUAGAGAAGUCCAGAGAGCCAGGGCCUGGACAAACUCACCUCUCUGUGUGGUGUUCCUUGGCUGGAAUUCAGGCUCCUCCCCCGCUGCCCUUGUACGUGUUUUCCUUUGGGAGAGAGCCUCUACAAGGAUGAGGGGCAGAUGUGGAGGGACUUGAAGAUGAGUGGAAUUGGUGUACAUGAUGUGUAAUUCCCAAACAAUCAAUAAAAAUUAUGUUAAUAAUAAAAAAAGAUGGAAAUGACAGUAGAGAAAGAAGAAAUAACACUGAUCCUUCAUAGACCUUGCAGAAUGUUCAAGAUGGGGGAAUAUUUUCCAGCACAUUCUCUAUGAGAAUAAUAUUCUACCUGUAAAGCCAGGCUGAGCCAUCACAAGGACCCCCACAGUUCAACAUAUGAAAAAUUCCUCAAGAAAAUAUUAAGAAUUCAAAUCCAGCAAAAACAUGCAAAACACGUGACAUUAUUUUUUGUGUGUACAUGUUUGUUUUGAAGCAUGUUUUCACUAUGUAAGUCUGGUCUGGAAAUCACUGUGUAGCCUUAUCCUGGCUCAAACUCACAGUCCUCCUGCCUCCAAGUGCUGGAAUUUCACUUGCAUAUUAGCAUGCCUGGCAGAUUAGGCAACACUUCCAAGUAAGAUUCCUCUCAGAUAUGUACAACAUUCAAAUUUCAGUUAACAUAAUGUAGCAUGUUAGUGUAAUCAAGAACAAAGAUUGUUUGAUCAUUUUGGCAUUUCACAAUAUCCAAGACACAAUUGUGAUUAAAAAACAGUCAACAGGAGGCUUGUCCCUGAAUAAAAAUGAUUUUCCCUCUGGAAUUGGGGGAGGGAGGAUUAAAUACAAUACUCGAGUAUGAAAUUCUCAAAACCCAAAACAUGGUCAACAGGCCAAGAUUAGUGGCACAUGCCUCUAAUCCAAGCACUUGGCAAGCAGAGAUGGGUGGAUCUCUGAGUUCCAGGCCAGGCUGAUCUGCAUAACGAGGCCCUGUGUCAAAAGACAAAAUGAAAUAUAGUCAACAACUUCAGAGUAGCAGAGAAGGCCUCCAACUUGUAAAGCACAUAGUGUGCAUUGUGGUGAAGGAAGACGUGCUUUUUUCCAUUAGAUUGAGGCCAAGACAGAUAUCUUUACACUUAGAUGUAUUAUGGAUCAUCUCCCCCAAAAUGCAUGUUGAAUUUUAAUCUGCAUAUGAGAGAUUAAGAAAUGGGGCUAGGAGUGGUACUUACGAAUUGAUUGUGUUCUUCCCUUGUGAUCGAGUUAGGAUUUCAUGCAAUUAUUGAAGGAAUGGGAGCCGGGGAUAUAACUCAGUGAAUAAUAAGUUGUUUAGCAUGUGCAAGGCCUUGGGUUCAAUUUCCAAUACUGAAAAGGAAGGAGGAAUAACAGAG
Peromyscus maniculatus bairdii (prairie deer mouse) is the source of this 2037-nucleotide non-coding RNA. NCBI's taxonomy places the organism in Eukaryota, Metazoa, Chordata, Mammalia, Rodentia, Cricetidae. The record is from RefSeq and is a predicted model, not a curated record.